This 2424-nucleotide small RNA is filed under the name Pongo abelii (Sumatran orangutan). Its description in RNAcentral is "processed transcript". Lineage: Eukaryota; Metazoa; Chordata; Mammalia; Primates; Hominidae. The record is from RNAcentral.
ACAGCAAGAUUAAGCAGCAGCAGGGCCCGGUGCUUUCCAGCAGCCAGAAGAAUGCUGUGAUCAAGAUGUUUCUCUCACAUCCGUGUGCUUAGCCGCCCUUGGAUGUUUGGCCCCCAGAGCACCUAAUCCUGUCUCUGGGCACGCGGCCAGGCCUCGCUGGGAGCCAGGCGGGGCCCACGGGGCAGUGACAGGCUGAAGACUCAACUAGAGUCAAGGACAGGGUCUCCAGCCAGGGUGGCUUGCCUAGCCACCGACGUCUCCCAGGCCCACGGUCACAGCAGACUCCUGGUGAAGACACUGAACCCCCCACCAGCCCCAUGUCCUCCCUGGGCAGGGCAGGAGGGGCUGCUGGAGAGGCCAGGGAGGAGGUGUGGGGCCUCGGUGGCAUUGGCAGGCCACCCCCACAGAGCGGCCCAAAGGUGGAAUUUGGCCUUGUUUAGGGAGUGUUGGCCCAGCUGGCUUACCAAAACAGGAAAGGCCUUUGGAUACAGAAACUGGGUGUUUUCCUGCUGGAUCUUCAUGGUCCUCCCGUCAUGGUUGCCGGAAAAGGAAAUAUUUGACAACCAGCUCCUUGAAGAGCGGAACCGGCGCCGUCAGUGAUGGAGCAGCCGGCUGUGCUGUCAGCGGGGCCUGGCGGUGGAAGCGCCUCCAGUGUGCAUGAGCAUGUCUGAAGAUGGGGGGCUCAGGGGGGCACGUUUGCGUUUAGACCUGUCUGUGCGUUCUCCUGCGUGGCAGUCCUGAUUUCCAUACUUCUGGAGAAUGCAUUUCGUUAACAUUGAAAGCCAGUUCUCUUUUCCUGGCAGUUUUUUUCAUUUUAUUUUUGGCAUUUUUUACAAGAUACCGUUCGGGAAAGGCUUUUGAAAGGACGGAAGCGUAUUCACUGUGCGCCAGUACUCCUGGCUGUGCUGUGGUUUCUCCCGACGUGCACAUUUAUCUCCUAUGUGUGGCAUCUGAUAUUAAACGGGAGGUUUUAAGAAGCGUCUGCCGUGAUUAUGGAGCUUCGGAAGCGGGAAUGGUUCUUCCGGAUUUGCUGUUUUGUCUGUUUCCCCCUUGUGUGGUUUCCGCCCGUGACGGUUCCAGAAUUUGCUCUCCCACUCUGCUCUGCAGCUGUGAGGAAACAGCCUUCGUUAGAGGCGGGAGCAGAGACGAGCCGCUGCUCUGUGUCGUGUUUGCCGUGGCCGCAGGGAGAGGAGCGGGACACGCACCUUUCCAGGGGCCUCUGUGCUCCGCACUGUGCGAGUGGACCGCAGCGCGCAGCCACACGCCCUGGCUGCCAUGGGUCAGCCCGCCUGCACCUCCCCCGCUCGCCUGGCCUGUCCUGACGGGAUGUCUCUGCACUGUGUCGUCACUGCAUGGCCAGUCACCGCGGUCUCAGUCAUCGGCCCGGAUGGCUAUGCUGGGGUCCCAGGGUGGCCGCAGCAGUCAGGGUCGCUGUGGGAGCCCGGGGGUGGAGUGAGAAAAUGCGUUGUCCUGUGCCCGCCAUCGCAGAAGCGCAGCCUUUGUAUGGAAGCCCAACCGCGCUCCCGUCUGGAGAAACGACUUCCGGGGUGUGGCUGUCAGGUCGGCUCUGGUCCGCAACACGGUGCCGGGGCUGCAGGUUGCUGAAGACUGUGACUCCGUGGGGCUCAGCCAGGUUCCAGCAGGGUCAGAUGUGCUGUUAAGCAAAGCCACAGACGAUGAAUUGUUCAUUCUCAGCGGAUGCUCCAGGCUGCGCCUAGACAGCAGUGCUGGUGAAAUUUCCAGGGUUCCAGGGCCCGGUGGCCUGGGGGCUGCUUUCUCCCCACUGGCUGGGCUGCAUCUGGCCCUGGCUGGAGGCCUUGCUUUGAGGGGCUGUGACCUUCCUCCCCCAGGUCCUCCCCAGCUGCCCACAGCCACCGGAGAGGAGAUCGGAACACGAUUGUCUCAGAUGCGGGGCGCUGAGCGGGACGAGGCCGCAGGGACUCUCGUAUCGGGCCCUUGGGACUCGGGAGGUGCCAGAGGCGGCGGCUGCUCUGGAACUCGGUGUUCACUGGCCUUUGUUUCACUUGAUUCUGCUCAGUUCCGAGAGCAGGAAACCCGGCCCUGGCCUGCAGCUCUGCCUCCCAUGCCCGCACGCCGGGGUCUGUCUUGUCUGGAGGAGGCGGGGGUCAGGGGCGUCGGCCUUGGCCCCCUGCUGGUCGCUCUUUCGGGGACUUGGGGCGGCCAGUGUCACCGCCUGAGGCGGGGCUCAGCAGCGUUGCAUGUACGGGCCUCGUACUGCCUCAUGGAAAGUCCCCCCGAGCCGCCCUCCAUUGUGGGUUCCUGAGGGUAGGACACAUCGCCACGGUUUUGUGGGAAUCACGCGUCCCUGCUGGAACUCUUCUGCUGUUGUGAAGUACUUUUAUCCAUUUGCUUCUCUGCUGACCUUGCCAAGUUGUUCGAGGUGGAAUUAAACGCCUCCCAGAC